Molecule: long non-coding RNA, 627 nt
Organism: Xiphophorus hellerii (green swordtail)
Lineage: Eukaryota; Metazoa; Chordata; Actinopteri; Cyprinodontiformes; Poeciliidae
Exons: 3
Source: RefSeq, a predicted model, not a curated record
CACAAGCAACAGCCACUAACAACAGUGAACGACGGAGCUGCUUCCCUCGGGGGUUCAGUUCUGCUUUGAAAUGAUCUGAUGGGUCGCUGGAAAACACUAUUGUUGUGUUCAAGUUGUGCUUAAAGGAAUUAGCCUAUCAGUGAAGCUAUUCAAGCCUAAAAUAGCAUCUCAAUGCCAGACAUGUUGCUAAUGCUAAUGUCAGCAUCCAGGAUGGAUGAUCAGGACUUCCUGAAACUCUGGAAACCUGAAUGGAUGGAAAAACUCUUCUCUCCAAUCUGAUGGCUGAAGAACCUGAAGAACAGAUUAAAAACAAUAUCGCUGUUGUUGAGCUCAUUUGUCUAUUAAAUCAACAAUUUGGCAGCAAAAAGUGUUCUUGGGUUGAAAAUGCUGAUUCUUUUGUCAAUAUAUGAGCAGUUAACUUGAUUAAAAAUUUAAAUCCAGUCAUUAUCAUGACCAAAAGGCUUAGAGCACCGAACACUCACCCCUGAGGAACUCCUUUCUUCAUUUUAUCAGGAGGCUGAUGUUUCUGCCAACACAUGAUGCUGGUUGUUCAACAUUUGAUGCUCUACUUUAUCAAAAACUGAAAUAAUUGUAAACAUUAAUGAUGAUUAAAAACAUGUAUUUUUA